GCCUUAGCAAAGGGACUGCUUUGCCAGGCUGCUGUCACAUAGCACUCCUGUCUCCCGUUUGACUUCACAUAGUGAAAAUUGUCUAAAAGAUAAGGCAGGAGCUCUGGUUGACACCACCACCCCCAUAGAUCUCUCUCUAGAAGCAUUGGAAGAGGCCGUCUCAAAAAAGAAAAAAAAAUAGAAGCAUUGCAGGAAAGACGUGGUUUGUAGUGAAACAAAUUGGAAGUCAAGCUCAGCCUCAACCACUUACUUGCUUCUGACCUUGGGAACUUAGGCCAGCUCCCAUCCAGUUCAAUCAGGUUGGGACCACCAAUUCUUCAAUGGGCCUGCCCAAAUGCCCAAGAAGUGGACUUUUGAUGUCAGAGGGCCAAAGAUCCCACCCUCAGAUCAUGCUAAUGCCACCACUUUCUGUACACAUGUCCUGUGAAAUGCCACAAACCCUGACUACUACGCUUGUGCAGAACAAACCUAUCAAUUAAUUUUUCCCUACUGCCAAUCACCUUUCCCCAUGCCUUACACCACCGUGUUUCCCUAACGCAUAAAUAUCCCUAAGCCUUAUCUUCAGGAAGCAGGAUGUGAGAGCUGUUCUACCACCUUGUUUGGUGGCCUUGCAAAUAAAUCCUUUCUCUUUUGCAAAACCCA
Molecule: long non-coding RNA, 642 nt
Organism: Homo sapiens (human)
Lineage: Eukaryota; Metazoa; Chordata; Mammalia; Primates; Hominidae
Exons: 2
Source: RefSeq, a predicted model, not a curated record